AACGAACGCUGGCGGCAUGCCUAACACAUGCAAGUCGAACGAUGCCUCCGGGCAUAGUGGCGCACGGGUGCGUAACGCGUGGGAAUCUGCCCUUGGGUUCGGAAUAACUCGCCGAAAGGCGAGCUAAUACCGGAUGAUGACGUAAGUCCAAAGAUUUAUCGCCCAAGGAUGAGCCCGCGUAGGAUUAGCUAGUUGGUGGGGUAAAGGCCCACCAAGGCGACGAUCCUUAGCUGGUCUGAGAGGAUGAUCAGCCACACUGGGACUGAGACACGGCCCAGACUCCUACGGGAGGCAGCAGUGGGGAAUAUUGGACAAUGGGCGAAAGCCUGAUCCAGCAAUGCCGCGUGAGUGAUGAAGGCCUUAGGGUUGUAAAGCUCUUUUACCCGGGAUGAUAAUGACAGUACCGGGAGGAUAAGCGCCGGCUAACUCCGUG
Molecule: ribosomal RNA, 433 nt
Filed under: uncultured bacterium
Lineage: Bacteria
Description: partial 16S ribosomal RNA
Rfam family: Bacterial small subunit ribosomal RNA
Source: RNAcentral